Kwoniella botswanensis is the source of this 113-nucleotide ribosomal RNA. Lineage: Eukaryota; Fungi; Basidiomycota; Tremellomycetes; Tremellales; Cryptococcaceae. The record is from RefSeq and is a predicted model, not a curated record.
UACGGUCAUAGAACCCAAAACACUGCAUCCCGUCAGCCCUGCCAAGUUAAGGUGGGUAUCGCUUGGUCAGUACCAAAGUCGGGGACGAUUUGGGAAUACCGAGUGCUGUAGUU